Molecule: ribosomal RNA, 482 nt
Filed under: uncultured bacterium
Lineage: Bacteria
Description: partial 16S ribosomal RNA
Rfam family: Bacterial small subunit ribosomal RNA
Source: RNAcentral
AUUGAACGCUGGCGGCAUGCUUUACACAUGCAAGUCGAACGGUAACAGGCCGCAAGGUGCUGACGAGUGGCGCACGGGUGAGUAAUGCAUCGGAACGUGCCCAGUCGUGGGGGAUAACUACUCGAAAGAGUAGCUAAUACCGCAUACGAUCUAUGGAUGAAAGCGGGGGACCGUAAGGCCUCGCGCGAUUGGAGCGGCCGAUGUCAGAUUAGGUAGUUGGUGGGGUAAAGGCUCACCAAGCCAACGAUCUGUAGCUGGUCUGAGAGGACGACCAGCCACACUGGGACUGAGACACGGCCCAGACUCCUACGGGAGGCAGCAGUGGGGAAUUUUGGACAAUGGGCGCAAGCCUGAUCCAGCAAUGCCGCGUGCAGGAAGAAGGCCUUCGGGUUGUAAACUGCUUUUGUACGGAACGAAACGGCUCUGGUUAAUACCCGGGGCUAAUGACGGUACCGUAUGAAUAAGCACCGGCUAACUACGUG